GCCUUACACAUGCAAGUCGAACGGCAGCACGGGAGCAAUCCUGGUGGCGAGUGGCGAACGGGUGAGUAAUAUAUCGGAACGUGCCCAGUCGUGGGGGAUAACGCAGCGAAAGCUGUGCUAAUACCGCAUACGAUCUCUGGAUGAAAGCGGGGGACCUGCAAGGGCCUCGCGCGAUUGGGGCGGCCGAUAUCAGAUUAGCUAGUUGGUGGGGUAAAGGCCCACCAAGGCGACGAUCUGUAGCUGGUCUGAGAGGACGACCAGCCACACUGGAACUGAGACACGGUCCAGACUCCUACGGGAGGCAGCAGUGGGGAAUUUUGGACAAUGGGCGCAAGCCUGAUCCAGCAAUGCCGCGUGCAGGAUGAAGGCCUUCGGGUUGUAAACUGCUUUUGUACGGAACGAAACGGCUCCUUUUAAUACAGGGGGCUAAUGACGGUACCGUAAGAAUAAGCACCGGCUAACUACGUGCCAGCAGCCGCGGUAAUACGUAGGGUGCGAGCGUUAAUCGGAAUUACUGGGCGUAAAGCGUGCGCAGGCGGUUAUAUAAGAACAGAUGUGAAAUCCCC
Molecule: ribosomal RNA, 566 nt
Filed under: uncultured Rhodoferax sp.
Lineage: Bacteria; Pseudomonadati; Pseudomonadota; Betaproteobacteria; Burkholderiales; Comamonadaceae
Description: bacterial SSU rRNA
Rfam family: Bacterial small subunit ribosomal RNA
Source: RNAcentral